AUUGAACGCUGGCGGCAGGCCUAACACAUGCAAGUCGAGCGGAUGAAGGGAGCUUGCUCCUGGAUUCAGCGGCGGACGGGUGAGUAAUGCCUAGGAAUCUGCCUGGUAGUGAGGGAUAACGUCCGGAAACGGGCGCUAAUACCGCAUACGUCCUGAGGGAGAAAGUGGGGGAUCUUCGGACCUCACGCUAUCAGAUGAGCCUAGGUCGGAUUAGCUAGUUGGUGGGGUAAAGGCCUACCAAGGCGACGAUCCGUAACUGGUCUGAGAGGAUGAUCAGUCACACUGGAACUGAGACACGGUCCAGACUCCUAAGGGAGGCAGCAGUGGGGAAUAUUGGACAAUGGGCGAAAGCCUGAUCCAGCCAUGCCGCGUGUGUGAAGAAGGUCUUCGGAUUGUAAAGCACUUUAAGUUGGGAGGAAGGGCAGUAAGUUAAUACCUUGCUGUUUUGACGUUACCAACAGAAUAAGCACCGGCUAACUUCGUG
This 484-nucleotide ribosomal RNA is filed under the name uncultured bacterium. RNAcentral describes it as "partial 16S ribosomal RNA". It matches the Rfam family "Bacterial small subunit ribosomal RNA", at positions 30 to 507 of the family's 1533-position model. The record is from RNAcentral.